This 253-nucleotide ribosomal RNA is filed under the name uncultured bacterium. RNAcentral describes it as "partial 16S ribosomal RNA". It matches the Rfam family "Bacterial small subunit ribosomal RNA", at positions 524 to 776 of the family's 1533-position model. The record is from RNAcentral.
UACGGGGGGGGUAAGCGUUGUUCGGAUUCAUUGGGCGUAAAGGGUGCGUAGGCGGCGCGGUGAGUCGGAUGUGAAAUCUCGGAGCUUAACUCCGAAACUGCAUUCGAUACUGCCGUGCUUGAGGACUGGAGAGGAGACUGGAAUUUACGGUGUAGCGGUGAAAUGCGUAGAUAUCUGGAGGAAUACCGGUGGCGAAGGCGGCAUCCUGGACCGACAUUGACGCUGAACGGCGAAAGCUAGGGGAGCAAACGGG